UACCAGCACCCCGAGUGGUCGGGACGAUUAUUGGGCCUAAAGCAUCCGUAGCCGGCCUUACAAGUCCUCCGUUAAAUCCAGCUGCUUAACAGAUGGGCUGCGGAGGAUACUAUAAGACUAGGAGGCAGGAGAGGCAAGCGGUACUCAGUGGGUAGGGGUAAAAUCCGUUGAUCCAUUGAAGACCACCAGUGGCGAAGGCGGCUUGCCAGAAUGCGCUCGACGGUGAGGGAUGAAAGCUGAGGGAGCAAACCGG
Molecule: ribosomal RNA, 253 nt
Filed under: uncultured bacterium
Lineage: Bacteria
Description: partial 16S ribosomal RNA
Rfam family: Archaeal small subunit ribosomal RNA
Source: RNAcentral